Long non-coding RNA from Clupea harengus (Atlantic herring), 400 nucleotides. RefSeq lists it as uncharacterized. The transcript has 4 exons. The record is from RefSeq and is a predicted model, not a curated record. NCBI's taxonomy places the organism in Eukaryota, Metazoa, Chordata, Actinopteri, Clupeiformes, Clupeidae.
ACUAGAGAGGUUGUUGAUUUGAAAAAGACCCCGUAGCAGUCGCCGUUCGCAACUUGUCUUUCUCCUCGUGGCUGCAAGAAGACGAUAAAGUUGAGAUCCCCCAGGUAUUCAAGAAAUACGAAGAGGUUCGUCUGCAUCAAAAGGCUUCGUUAAAAAAAAAAAGAGUUGCCACCUUAUCAAGAUCCCAGGUGAUGAAGCACCUCCAGCCACACAGGCAGGGUUACCUGCUCUUCUGACUUGAGCCUACAGCAAGAUGAAAGGGACAUCAGCUCUGUUACUCUGGAAGGGAGCGUGGAGGCCUCUGAGAUCACUGUGAACCUUGAGGACUGAGGCUGCGGCAGUUCCCACACUCACACGCACACACACACACACACACACACACACACACACACACACACAC